Molecule: non-coding RNA, 82 nt
Organism: Powellomyces hirtus
Lineage: Eukaryota; Fungi; Chytridiomycota; Chytridiomycetes; Spizellomycetales; Powellomycetaceae
Source: the annotation of a GenBank genome assembly
UCUCAGUUAGUAUAUUGGCUAGUAUCCCCGCCUGUCAUUCAGCAGUCCGCGGGAGAGCCGGGUUCGAUUCCCGGACUGAGAG